AGGGAAUCUUCCGCAAUGGACGCAAGUCUGACGGAGCAACGCCGCGUGAACGAUGAAGGCUUUCGGGUCGUAAAGUUCUGUUGUUAGGGAAGAACAAGUAGGAGAGUAACUGCUCGUACCAUGACGGUACCUAACGAGAAAGCCACGGCUAACUACGUGCCAGCAGCCGCGGUAAUACGUAGGUGGCAAGCGUUGUCCGGAAUUAUUGGGCGUAAAGCGCGCGCAGGCGGUCUAAUAAGUCUGAUGUGAAAUCUCGCAGCUCAACUGCGAGCGGUCAUUGGAAACUGUUAGACUUGAGUGCAGAAGAGGAGAGUGGAAUUCCAUGUGUAGCGGUGAAAUGCGUAGAUAUAUGGAGGAACACCAGUGGCGAAGGCGACUCUCUGGUCUGUAACUGACGCUGAGGCGCGAAAGCGUGGGUAGCAAAC
RNAcentral lists this ribosomal RNA (425 nucleotides) under uncultured bacterium. RNAcentral describes it as "bacterial SSU rRNA". It matches the Rfam family "Bacterial small subunit ribosomal RNA", at positions 356 to 773 of the family's 1533-position model. The record is from RNAcentral.